This is a long non-coding RNA of Glycine soja, 684 nucleotides long. RefSeq lists it as uncharacterized. NCBI's taxonomy places the organism in Eukaryota, Viridiplantae, Streptophyta, Magnoliopsida, Fabales, Fabaceae. The transcript has 5 exons. The record is from RefSeq and is a predicted model, not a curated record.
UCAAACCUCUGGCAAGCAAGCUCUUCGGGUUAGCAGCUUAUUUUGAACUAAUAUUGUGCUCAUUUUUAUCUUAUAUUGUGACAACCAUGUAUGUGAGCCUGUGAGUUAGUUACUACUUUGGUAUUGGUCUAUCGAUUUUGCCUUUUUUAUUUAAUUUUUUUAUCAAGGUUAGAUGAACCAACUAAUAGCGAAGAGACUAAAUAAUUAUUUGGUGAUUUAUAAUUUUGGGAAUCAUUUUUUUAUUUUUUUUAAUUCUAGGAACCAAUUAAUACCUCUUUCUUUGAUCUGUUUACUGUAGUUCCAGUCAUAGUAACAACCUACACAUUUCAUUUUAAUGUACAUCCAAUUGGGUUUGAGCUUGUCAAGCCAUCAAAAAUGGCAACAGCAGUUCGAAUAGCAUUGCUGCUUUGUGGUGUCAUCCAAUUGGUUUCAAGUAUCUGCAGGCCUUGAGGGAAGUAUCCUAUGCCAUGAUCGAUAUGCCAACUGUAUUGCAAUUCUCUUCAACAACUAAGAAUGCGGACGAAUUUGCCUCAAGACUUUUAGAUAUUCAUUCUAAGAUGCUACAGAUUAACAAAAAAGAGGAUAAGAAGCGGUUUUGGAUGUGUCGUGAUGGCUUUUAUGAUGGAUAGAAAUUAGAGUAGAUAACAUGCAAAACAGGUGAAGGGGAGAUGGAAAACUGGGAGC